AACAGGAUUAGAUACCCUGGUAGUCCACGCCCUAAACGAUGUCUACUAGUUGUUGGUGGAGUAAAAUCCAUGAGUAACGCAGCUAACGCGUGAAGUAGACCGCCUGGGGAGUACGGUCGCAAGAUUAAAACUCAAAUGAAUUGACGGGGGCCCGCACAAGCGGUGGAUUAUGUGGAUUAAUUCGAUGCAACGCGAAAAGCCUUACCUGGCCUUGACAUGUACCGAAUUUACCAGAGAUGGUUUAGUGCUCGAAAGAGAACGGUAACACAGGUGCUGCAUGGCUGUCGUCAGCUCGUGUCGUGAGAUGUUGGGUUAAGUCCCGCAACGAGCGCAACCCUUGCCAUUAAUUGCCAUCAUUUAGUUGGGCACUUUAAUGGGACUGCCGGUGACAAACCGGAGGAAGGUGGGGAUGACGUCAAGUCCUCAUGGCCCUUAUGGCCAGGGCUUCACACGUAAUACAAUGGUCGGUACAGAGGGUUGCCAACCCGCGAGGGGGAGCCAAUCCCAGAAAGCCGAUCGUAGUCCGGAUUGUAGUCUGCAACUCGACUACAUGAAGUCGGAAUCGCUAGUAAUCGCGGAUCAGCAUGUCGCGGUGAAUACGUUCCCGGGCCUUGUACACACCGCCCGUCACACCAUGGGAGUGGGUUUUACCAGAAGUAGGUAGUCUAACCGUAAGGAGGACGCUUACCACGGUAGUAUUCAUGACUGGGGUGAAGUCGUAACAAGGUAACC
This 732-nucleotide ribosomal RNA is filed under the name uncultured bacterium. RNAcentral describes it as "bacterial SSU rRNA". It matches the Rfam family "Bacterial small subunit ribosomal RNA", at positions 771 to 1501 of the family's 1533-position model. The record is from RNAcentral.